AUCGAGGAGGCUUAGUUCUUCACAAACAGAUAAUAAGGAGUUAAAAGUUGAACCUUCUGAAUCACUUCCAUCUGGUUUUAUCACGCGUAGCGCUCUUAUUAAACUCUCAGAAAAACUUAAUUCCACUAAGAAGGUAUAUGAUUUCAAAGCUUUUGAAGGACCUCCAACGCGUUGUUUAAUAUGUCAUAGUACUUCUCACUUAUGGAACGAUUGUACUACACCAGUUUUAAAUGAUCUUUUGAGUAAACUUACUUAUAAAGGAAAAGUUCCUAUUCCUCGAGCCGGUAUGACAGUUGAGAAGUUUUUAAAGAAUAUUGCUAGAGGAGCUGAAACUACAAUACCUUUGUUUAAAAAUUGGGAUGAAUUAAUGUUAUCGACGAGAGAAUCACUCAAAAUUUUAAAUGUAUCCGUUUCCAACCGGCGAUACAUUUUGGAGUGGAUUCACAGAUACAAAUUUGGUAUUGAACCUCGUGCUCUUCGUCUGCCUAGAAAAUUCCGGAAAACUAAAAGUUCCAAUAAAAAGAAAUCUUCACCAGUUAAGAAUAAAAAU
Molecule: long non-coding RNA, 550 nt
Organism: Zophobas morio
Lineage: Eukaryota; Metazoa; Arthropoda; Insecta; Coleoptera; Tenebrionidae
Exons: 4
Source: RefSeq, a predicted model, not a curated record